GUUAGUACGGCACGAUCUUCCAUUGUUGAUUAUCACCUUCAGUCCACUCCCAUAUGCCAAUGAAAGUACCGUCAUGAAUGCUUCCAUCAUGAAAUGCAUCUACAUUCAGGUCAGUGUCAUCAACCAUCCUCAUGGCUCUGUAACCAUCACCCAAGUCCUCGGCAAGAGCCCAAAGGAUGGACUCAUCAAGUACAUCUGGAACAUAAGGAAUAAGCUCCACCUGUAGAAGUAGAAUUUUACUGCAUAUUAGCAAACUGUAGAGCAUCCAGAAAACUGAAAAACAAAUAAAAAUUCCAUUGAAACAAGGAUAGUAUAUGUUUAACUAUACAUUCUGGAUAUAUUUUCUUUGACAGCUUUAGUAUUAAAAAAUUUGACUGAAGCACUGAAGCUCUGUAAGAACCAGAAAGUCAGUCAGAUGAUUGAUGACAAAGUGAGAAAUUUGAAGGACAGAGAACUGGAGAGAGUAACAGCAAACUAACGGCUACUGAUACCAAUUUUAGCAUCAGACUCAGUCAAUGAAGUAGGACUCGAGGAAGAAGAGUAAUAUAGCUAGCUUGAUAAAGGAAAACGAGUGACGAAAAAAAUCAUCUAGGCCUCGUUACUUGACUCACAAAUUACAUGACUCGCACAGUAUCAUUACCAAGACAAGGGAAUGACUUUUAAUUUUCCUACUAACGAAGUGGGACAUUAAAUAAUUUUUUGUACUCUAUCUAUCUCCUUUUACAUAUCACUUUUGGAAGCAAAAAAAUAAUGAUCCCUAUAUAUUUGUCACUCCCUCCUUUUAAUACAAAAUUAAAAAACAAUUCCUAGCAACACCUCAUACUACUAUUUCUAAUAUUUGAUUAAUUCAUAUAUACAAAUAAUUCAACUAAUUUUAUUGCAUCCAUUAGAGUUAAACAAGUAAACAAAUCAUCCAUAUAAUAUUUAUUAAGAUGCAUAAUUUUUUCAGAAGUGGAUGUGUAAUAGGUGAUGAAGGGAGUAUCGUGACAGACAUCAAGAAAUCAAUUGGAAAUUUAAUAGCCAACUGUCAUUCAAAAUUCGAAAAUUGAAACUUAUCUCCAGCAUUGGAGAUGAAAAACUAUCACCGGGUCAAAUACACAUAUUCCUUGUUAAAAAAUAAGAUUAAACAUUAGAAGUUUAGGACAUGAAAAGAUAGAUAAAAAUACCAGAUGACCGGCUCCAACAGAAUGCUUCAUAGCCUGACCAGUAGCUUUAUUAACCAGAGCAAAGCUAGGGAAGCCGUAUUCAUCUGUAUGCCAGUUGCUAUAUCUUUCGUUUUUCACCCAGUGCUGCGACAAAAAAAAAACCAAAAAAGUGUCACAGUUUCAUAGUUUCAGACACCAGAAAGUAUUGUAACAAAAAAAAGUUAAUGAUCAGUCAAUUUAACUAGACUUUCACUGCAGAUUAAUAUAUACUUUCCCCGCUCUUAUUUUAAAAUCUUUAUAAAAGAAGAUUCAGUCAAUCUGAUUAAAGUUUAAUUGCAGUUUUACAUUUUAAUAAUUAUUAUUUAUAUCAGAGGCGGAUCUUAGAAGGGGUAAGAGGGGGCAACUGACCCCCCUUAAUUUUUUUGUUUGUUAAUAUUAUACAUAUUUUUAGGUUGUAAAAUUGAAAUUGACCCCCCUUAAUUUUUUUGUGACCCCUUUUAAUUUUUUUUACAAAAAAAUUGACCCCCCUUAACUUCAUAGUCAGAUCCGCCACUGAUUUAUAUGUUUUAAAACUUUAAAUAAUAUAGUAUGAUAUAUAAUUUUAUCUGUAUAUUAUCUUCUUACUUGAUAUUUAUAAAGUAACAAAAUUUCAAGGUCAAAAUUUAGUCAGUCUGGCGUACUUUUUGUGCAAAAAGACAUUUAAUAAUAAAAUUGGAUGAAGUAAUACCUGGGUUGGGUCCGAUGUGUCAGCCCGAGCAAUAAUGACCUUACCAUCACGGAUUGCAAGGGAACAAUGAGUCUCAGCCUUUGUGUAAACUCUAACAGAUGGCAUCUGGUUUAAAAAAUCCAAAACCUGGUGUGUAGGAACAUCAGGAUGUGGUACCACCUUCCAGAGUUGAUUUUCGCCGUGCAUCCACUCCCACAAACCAAUGAUAGUGCCAUCAUGAAUGCUUCCAUCAUGAAAUGCAUCCACAUUCAGGCAGGUGUUAUUCACCAUCCUCAUUGCUCUGUAAUCGUCACCCAAGUCCUCGGCAAGAGUCCAAAGGACGGUCUCAUCAUGUGCGUCUGGCACAUAAGGGAUAAGCUCCACCUAUAGAAGAUUUUUUUUUUUACGAAUAUUAGCAUACUAUAGAGCACCCAGACUUACAAAAAGCACACAAAAGUUUCAGCAAAAACAAGAUAUAAAUUGUUUAAUUAUAGAUCUAGAAUGAGAUUAGACUGGUGAACACUGAACUUUAUAGCAGAAAAUUCUAAAUGUACUUCACUGAUAUAUUGUUGUGGUUUUGUAAUGUAUCUAUACAGCUGUAAAAAACAAUUACAAAUGUACGUUCAACAAUGUUAGUGCAGGCUUCCAGAAUUCAAGGAUUGAUUAAUUCUAUGAAACAUGAUCGCAGGAGAAUUAGUAUCAGAUGCAGGGGAACUUGUACCGUAUCAGAUGGCACUAAGAACAAUAUCCCCACCUAGAUAAAUGAAGAAGACAGAUCCACUUUGCAGAAUGAAAAAACUUCAUAAUAUGCAAUAAGUUGUGCUGUUUUGUUUCAACAUGUAAAAGAAUUUCAGAGAUAGAAUUUGUUUAACCUGAUUCGUUUCCAGCUCUUAUAGGAAUUGUUUAACCUGAUUAGUUUUCAGCUCUUUUACAUACUCUGUAACUUAAGUAAUGAACCUCUAUAAUAACCAGUCACUCAGUUGAUGAGAUUUUUGCUAAAAGGCGAAGUCAGAGCAUUGAAAAACAGAGUGAGAGAGAGAGGAACAUCGUUCAUCUCAAAGUUACAUGGAGCUCGGACAAGAAUAAGAGGUCAUAGGAAUAGCUUGAUAAACAAUCAGAAGAAUAACACUGUGUUCCCGAGUAAAAGUUUGGAGAGAAAGGGAACGAUUCAGACUUAUUUAUUAUCUCUAAAGUGUUCCCAAGAUCUUGUAAUAAAACAUAGAAAGGAAAAGGGGGAAAUUUAGUCAAUUUCUACCCAAACUUUUCUACUGAUUGAGAGAGAAAGAUAACCUACAAUGAUGAAUGCAUUCAUUAUAUCUGCAUUUGCUUUUCUUUAUUUGAAACUUGAAACAUGAUAAAGAAAAAUCUUAUAUCCGUUUUUGUUUUCAUUUCUAUCAACCUCUAUUCCUUUUGUUUCUCUCCUUCAUCAAAACACAACGUAUGAGAAAUUUUAUAAAGCACAAGAAGUUUGUUCUAUCAUUCUCUUUGGCCUCAAGACUAGAAAAUUAUAUGACUACUUAUAAAAUAUAAACCCAGACUACUAUCAGGAUUUUACAUUAAUUUUUUAUUUCAUCUCAGUAGCAGUCAUCAAGAAUAUAUUUAAGAAGAUAAUUUUACCUUAUAGAAAUCCAAACUUUAAAACUUAUAUCUAGUAUUGGACAUGAUAUUCCAUCACUCCAGGACAUAAAUAUUCCUCUGGAAAUAAAAUAAAUAUAUAGAAUAAGAACAAGUAAAUAAACAUACAGGAUGAGAGGCUCCUGCGGGCUUCAUAGCUUGACCAGUAGCUUUAUUAACCAGAGCAAAGCUAUGGAAGCCAUAUUCAUCUUUAACUUCUGUGCUAUAUUUCUCAACUUUCAGCCAGUGCUGCAAUCACAGAAAACCACAAAGGUCUUAUGAUAUCAAAUAGUUUGAGACCCCAUAAGUUACUAAUAACUGGUUAAUUAUCAGAGUCAUCAUCAUAUGUUCAACCAAAUACUAACACAAAUGAUGUUUUGAACUGAUGAAGUAUAUCAAUAUCCACUUUUCAUGUUUUACUUAACGGCAGUUAUGGUAUAUACAUGAUAUUUCAAAUUAUUAUAGUGUGACUUUCUUAAAAGGAAAUACCUGAGUUGGGUCGGAAAUGUUAGCCCGAGCAAGAAUGACCUUACUAUCACGGAUAGCAAGGGAACAAUUAGUCUCAGCCUUUGUGUAAACUCGAACAGAUGGCAUCCAGCUCAAACGAUCCCAGGCCAGGGGCUUAGGCACAUCCUGAGCCGGUACCAUCUUCCAUUGUUGAUUAUCACCACCAGCCCACUCACCUAUGCCAAUGAAAGUCCCGUCAUGAAUGCUUCCAUCAUGAAAUGCAUCUACAUUCAGGCGAAUGUCAUUAACCAUCCUCAUGGCUCUGUAACCAUCCCCCAAGUCCUCGGCGAGAGCCCACAGGAUGGACUCAUCAAGUACAUCUGGAACAUA
This 4302-nucleotide long non-coding RNA is filed under the name Daucus carota (carrot). RNAcentral describes it as "long non-coding RNA (DCAR_LNC000452)". The record is from RNAcentral. Lineage: Eukaryota; Viridiplantae; Streptophyta; Magnoliopsida; Apiales; Apiaceae.